RNAcentral lists this ribosomal RNA (116 nucleotides) under Trichopodus leerii (pearl gourami). RNAcentral describes it as "partial 12S ribosomal RNA". The record is from RNAcentral. Lineage: Eukaryota; Metazoa; Chordata; Actinopteri; Anabantiformes; Osphronemidae.
UCUAGAACCGAUAACCCCCGUUCAACCUCACCCUCUCUUGUUUUUCCCGCCUAUAUACCGCCGUCGUCAGCUUACCCUGUGAAGGUUUAAUAGUAAGCAAAAUUGGCAUAGCCCAA